AGCGGAAACGACACUAACAAUCCUUCGGGUGCGUUAAUGGGCGUCGAGCGGCGGACGGGUGAGUAAUGCCUAGGAAAUUGCCUUGAUGUGGGGGAUAACCAUUGGAAACGAUGGCUAAUACCGCAUGAUGCCUACGGGCCAAAGAGGGGGACCUUCGGGCCUCUCGCGUCAAGAUAUGCCUAGGUGGGAUUAGCUAGUUGGUGAGGUAAUGGCUCACCAAGGCGACGAUCCCUAGCUGGUCUGAGAGGAUGAUCAGCCACACUGGAACUGAGACACGGUCCAGACUCCUACGGGAGGCAGCAGUGGGGAAUAUUGCACAAUGGGCGAAAGCCUGAUGCAGCCAUGCCGCGUGUAUGAAGAAGGCCUUCGGGUUGUAAAGUACUUUCAGUUGUGAGGAAGGGUGUGUAGUUAAUAGCUGCGCAUCUUGACGUUAGCAACAGAAGAAGCACCGGCUAACUCCGUGCCAGCAGCCGCGGUAAUACGGAGGGUGCGAGCGUUAAUCGGAAUUACUGGGCGUAAAGCGCAUGCAGGUGGUUCAUUAAGUCAGAUGUG
RNAcentral lists this ribosomal RNA (552 nucleotides) under marine bacterium SIMO IS-S75-240. Its description in RNAcentral is "bacterial SSU rRNA". It matches the Rfam family "Bacterial small subunit ribosomal RNA", at positions 65 to 596 of the family's 1533-position model. The record is from RNAcentral. Lineage: Bacteria; Pseudomonadati; Pseudomonadota; Gammaproteobacteria; Vibrionales; Vibrionaceae.